Molecule: ribosomal RNA, 468 nt
Filed under: uncultured bacterium
Lineage: Bacteria
Description: partial 16S ribosomal RNA
Rfam family: Bacterial small subunit ribosomal RNA
Source: RNAcentral
GACGAACGCUGGCGGCGCGCUUAACACAUGCAAGUCGAACGGAAAGGCCCUGCUUUUGCGUGGUUCUCGCGUGGCGAACGGGUGAGUAACACGUGAGUAACCUGCCCUUUACUUUGGGAUAACUUCAGGCAACUGGGGCUACUACCGGAUAGGAGCUCCUGCUGCAUGGGGGGGGUUGGAAAGUUUCGGCGGAUGUGGAUGGACGCGCGGCUUAUCAGCUUGUUGGUGGGGUAGUGGCUUACCAAGGCAUUGGCGGGUCGCCUGCCCGGGAGGGUGAACAGCCACAAUGGGACUGCGGUACGGACCAGACUCCUACGGGAGGCAGCGGUGGGGAAUAUUGCACAAUGGGCCGAAGCCUGAUGCAGCAACGCCGCGUGCGUGAUGACGGCCUUCGGGUUGUAAACCGCUUUCGCCUGUGACGAAGCGUGAGUGACGGUAAUGGGUAAAGAAGCACCGGCUAACUACGUG